Argiope bruennichi is the source of this 2014-nucleotide RNA transcript. RefSeq lists it as uncharacterized. NCBI's taxonomy places the organism in Eukaryota, Metazoa, Arthropoda, Arachnida, Araneae, Araneidae. The transcript has 3 exons. The record is from RefSeq and is a predicted model, not a curated record.
CGACGUGAUUGAACGGGUGAGACUCUGAAUUCGUUUCUUUUUUUGUAUGAGUGAUAGCAAGGUGGGUGUCCUUCCAUUGUUCUACUUUUACAACUUUGGAUCUGAUAUUCCUAAGCGUUACGACGAAGCACAGCUUUUCCAAGUUCCUUAUUACUGCAAUAUAAGUAGGAAUAAAAUUUCAAAAUAAACAGAUGGUCGGAGUGAGUCUGCCGGAAUAUUAAGAAUAUGGCGCCAAAUGUUGUCCUUCAGAUCUGGUAGAGAUGAUGGCCUUUGACUGUAGAUAUUGUCCUUCAAAUAACCACACAACCAAAAGUCGCAAGGGGUACUGUCCGGCGAGUGAGGAGGUCAUGCUAUCGGGAAAUGACGGCUGAUAACUCGUACUUCUGUGAAAUGCUGUAUUAACCAUCGCUUUACACGACGAUCAAUAUGAGGUUGUGCACCAUUCUGCAUGAAAAUGAUGUCUUGAAGGCAUCUAAGCUGUAGAAGAGUUGGCAUUAGAAAAUCCCUCAGCAUAUCAUGGUAAUGUUGUCCUGUGACGGAACAGCUUUGGAUUCCAUUCGAAGUUAUCUCUUCAAAGAAAUACUGUCUAGUGAUAAAGGUAUCUGUAAAACUACACCAUACUGUCACUUUUUCAGGAUGCAAGGGCUGUUCCUGAAUAACGUGAGGUUUCCCUCUGCCCAAAUUCGACAAUUGUGGGUGUUAACUUCCCCAUUGAGGCAAAAGUGGUCCUAAUCACGCCACAGAAUGUUCCAUGGACAAAUUGUGUCUUGUCUUCGAGGAAACUGAAAUGCAAAAGUUUUACGGACCCCAUCCUGCAACAAGUGCACAAACUUGAUUUUGUAUGGAUAAGAAUGCAAAAUCUGUCGUACGAUUUUUUGUACAGUUGAAUACGGCAUAUCUAGAACACGGGAAAAAACUGGAAAACUCACACUAUUGUGCGGAGACUAUCUGCUGGCUUCAACGAGAGCGGUCGCAACAUUUUCGAAGCUGGGAGAAGGGAUUUUUUUACCUGGAAGAAAGCAAAGUUGCCCAGUUUUUACAAAUUUCUACAUCAUCUUGCGUAGGGCAUCUGGUGAUAUUCGUUCUCUUCGUAUCUGCUUCAUACGACGAAAAUCCUUUAGAGCUGCAGAAUUUUUGUUGGUUCUGGUAGAACAAUUUUACCAGUUGCGCUUUUUCUUGCAAUUUAGGCAUGAAGAAUAGAGAAGAAACUAUUGUUCGUGCCUACGCUUUUCUUUUUAUCCAAAGAAAAAUGGUAAUAGACAUGAUCUGUAACGCAAAGAACUUUUCACAUUUUCAAUAUAUGCAAAUAAAUGCCAUUUGUGUUACAGCGCCAUCUAUUGGUAAAUUUGUAUACUAAAUGUUUUUAAUAAAUAAGUGUAAAGCGCAUCAUUUGAAUUUAUCUUAUUUAAACCAAUAGAACGCAAUUUAGAGCUCUCUGAAGUGAUUAACUUAUUUCUUGCUAACCCUGUAGGGGCGGACGUGCCAUGUCCGCGCUUUCUGGUAAAUAAUUAUACUUUCCCGGAAUGGAUAGUUAAAUUAAUUUAAAAAUGUAAAUAGUCUUUUCACUGUCUUAGAAAAAUAUGGUCUAAAUGAAGUAAAUAAUACUAUUUUAUGUAAUUAGAGUCAAUAAAUGUUCUGAAUAAUAAAGAAUCUUAUAUCUUUAUACUGAUCCUCGGUUCUAAGAGUGAAAUUUUUAAAAAUAUUCUUGUGACUAAAACUGAGUCAGGUAUAGAAAUUGAGAUUAUGAACCACUGCAUUGACAGUCUCAAAGAAGGUAUAUAAAUCAGCGUUCGGAGUUUCCCGAAGGCUAAUUAGAUUAAAAUUUUGAAAUUGUUAAUUGUCUUUAGAUACUGAUAUUCAAAGUUCAUAACACAGUCAGAUUCGACUGCAUUAUAUUGGAGCCUGAAGAAUAUUUCAUUAAAUAUGAUUCCUUAAGAUGAAAGGACUGUAUAAAAUUUAGGAAAUAUUAUUUAUGUCAUUUAAAUAAUUUUAAAGGGAAACUAAAAUAUAAAUU